RNAcentral lists this transfer RNA (74 nucleotides) under Bacillota bacterium. RNAcentral describes it as "tRNA-Cys". It matches the Rfam family "tRNA". From Rfam's summary of the family: Transfer RNA (tRNA) molecules are approximately 80 nucleotides in length. Their secondary structure includes four short double-helical elements and three loops (D, anti-codon, and T loops). Lineage: Bacteria; Bacillati; Bacillota. RNAcentral also lists the same sequence under 1 other name. The record is from RNAcentral.
GGCCUCAUAGCCAAGUGGUAAGGCAAGGCACUGCAACUGCCUGACCAUCGGUUCAAAUCCGUUUGAGGCCUCCA